GGUUUAAUAGUUUAAUAAAAACAUUGAUUUUGUAAGUCAAAAUUAAAUAAAAUUUUUAAACCU
Molecule: transfer RNA, 63 nt
Filed under: Iolania perkinsi
Lineage: Eukaryota; Metazoa; Arthropoda; Insecta; Hemiptera; Cixiidae
Description: tRNA-Thr
Rfam family: tRNA
About the family: Transfer RNA (tRNA) molecules are approximately 80 nucleotides in length.
Source: RNAcentral